AGAGUUUGAUCAUGGCUCAGGAUGAACGCUAGCGGGAGGCCUAAUACAUGCAAGUCGUACGAUAGUCUGUAGCAAUACAGAUGAAAGUGGCGGACGGGUGAGUAACACGUAUGCAAUCUGCCUCUAUCCGGGAGAUAGCCCUCCGAAAGGGGGAUUAAUAUCCCAUAACAUCAUGAAUCGGCAUCGGUUUAUGAUUAAAGCUCCGGCAGAUAGAGAUGAGCAUGCGCCCCAUUAGGUAGUUGGUAGGGUAACGGCCUACCAAGCCUACGAUGGGUAGCUGGUCUGAGAGGAUGAUCAGUCACACGGGCACUGAGACACGGGCCCGACUCCUACGGGAGGCAGCAGUAGGGAAUAUUGGGCAAUGGAGGCAACUCUGACCCAGCCAUCCCGCGUGCAGGAAGAAGGCCCUACGGGUCGUAAACUGCUUUUAUUGGGGAAGAAAAUCCCUCUCGUGAGAGGGACUGACGGUACCCAAAGAAUAAGCACCGGCUAACUCCGUGCCAGCAGCCGCGGUA
This 515-nucleotide ribosomal RNA is filed under the name uncultured Bacteroidota bacterium. RNAcentral describes it as "bacterial SSU rRNA". It matches the Rfam family "Bacterial small subunit ribosomal RNA", at positions 8 to 522 of the family's 1533-position model. The record is from RNAcentral. Lineage: Bacteria; Pseudomonadati; Bacteroidota.